Molecule: long non-coding RNA, 956 nt
Organism: Cyprinus carpio (common carp)
Lineage: Eukaryota; Metazoa; Chordata; Actinopteri; Cypriniformes; Cyprinidae
Exons: 4
Source: RefSeq, a predicted model, not a curated record
CUUAUAUUUACUGGCCCAAUUUUUGUCUUGUCAGUCUGUACAUUUUGAACGAAAACGCAUCACAUAGAGCAAGGACUAUUGUAAGGAAUAUUGUUCGUUAUUCAUGGUUAUGACUUUGAAGAGCGGGAGAAGCAGUUGUUUUCUUUCUAGUCAGGAUGGCACAACGAAACUUUUAUUCACCCUGUUGUUUGUGUGGUGUGCUAUUAAUUCUGCGACUAGAGUUGGUGCUUCAAAAAAGGAGUCUUCAACUUCAGGAUAUACGGCUUCAGAAAGAACAACUAUACUUGCCAUUUCAACCUCAGCAAAACCAGCUCCAACCUCAUCAGAUUCUUCAGGUGCAACAAUGGUUAUAACUACAGAAAGACUUGCUUCAACAACCAUGACUACGUCUUCAGAAAAGACAAAAGCAGCUGAAACAACAAAUACUGCAUCCACAGCCACAACUGAACAUUCCACUGCUACAGUUAAAACAGUGGAAACCACAACUACAGGUUCAUUAACUACAUCUACAACAAACGAUCCAAAAACAUCAACAGCUGUAACAUCAGAAUCCACAACUCUUACUUCAACAACUAUGCCUACAUUAUCAGAAACAACUGCACCUGUAACAACAUCAACAACUACAGCAUCCUCAACUACUGAAAUUUCCACCACCACAGUUGUGAAGACCGAAACAACAGCCAUUACUUCAACAACACUGCCUACAACUUCAGAGAGUACAACAGCAGAAACCACAACUACAGCUUCAUCAAUUUUAUCUACAUCAACAAACUAUCCAACAACAUCAACAGCUGUAAUUUCAGAAUCCACAACUCUAACUUCAACAACAAUACCUACAUCUUCAGAAACAACUGUACCUGUAACAAUAUCAACAACUAAAGGAUUGUCAAUUAGUGAAAUUCCAACAACCACAGUUGUGAGUACAGAGACCACAACUACUACUUCAACAACACUGC